UGGGUGGAUUAGUGGCGAACGGGUGAGUAACACGUGAGUAACCUGCCCCUGACUCUGGGAUAAGCGUUGGAAACGACGUCUAAUACUGGAUAUGACUGCCGGCCGCAUGGUCUGGUGGUGGAAAGAUUUUUUGGUUGGGGAUGGACUCGCGGCCUAUCAGCUUGUUGGUGAGGUAAUGGCUCACCAAGGCGACGACGGGUAGCCGGCCUGAGAGGGUGACCGGCCACACUGGGACUGAGACACGGCCCAGACUCCUACGGGAGGCAGCAGUGGGGAAUAUUGCACAAUGGGCGAAAGCCUGAUGCAGCAACGCCGCGUGAGGGAUGACGGCCUUCGGGUUGUAAACCUCUUUUAGUAGGGAAGAAGCGAAAGUGACGGUACCUGCAGAAAAAGCACCGGCUAACUACGUGCCAGCAGCCGCGGUAAUACGUAGGGUGCAAGCGUUGUCCGGAAUUAUUGGGCGUAAAGAGCUCGUAGGCGGUUUGUCGCGUCUGCUGUGAAAUCCCGAGGCUCAACCUCGGGCUUGCAGUGGGUACGGGCAGACUAGAGUGCGGUAGGGGAGAUUGGAAUUCCUGGUGUAGCGGUGGAAUGCGCAGAUAUCAGGAGGAACACCGAUGGCGAAGGCAGAUCUCUGGGCCGUAACUGACGCUGAGGAGCGAAAGCAUGGGGAGCGAACAGGAUUAGAUACCCUGGUAGUCCAUGCCGUAAACGUUGGGCGCUAGAUGUAGGGACCUUUCCACGGUUUCUGUGUCGUAGCUAACGCAUUAAGCGCCCCGCCUGGGGAGUACGGCCGCAAGGCUAAAACUCAAAGGAAUUGACGGGGGCCCGCACAAGCGGCGGAGCAUGCGGAUUAAUUCGAUGCAACGCGAAGAACCUUACCAAGGCUUGACAUACACCGGAAACGGCCAGAGAUGGUCGCCCCCUUGUGGUCGGUGUACAGGUGGUGCAUGGUUGUCGUCAGCUCGUGUCGUGAGAUGUUGGGUUAAGUCCCGCAACGAGCGCAACCCUCGUUCUAUGUUGCCAGCGCGUUAUGGCGGGGACUCAUAGGAGACUGCCGGGGUCAACUCGGAGGAAGGUGGGGAUGACGUCAAAUCAUCAUGCCCCUUAUGUCUUGGGCUUCACGCAUGCUACAAUGGCCGGUACAAAGGGCUGCGAUACCGUAAGGUGGAGCGAAUCCCAAAAAGCCGGUCUCAGUUCGGAUUGAGGUCUGCAACUCGACCUCAUGAAGUCGGAGUCGCUAGUAAUCGCAGAUCAGCAACGCUGCGGUGAAUACGUUCCCGGGCCUUGUACACACCGCCCGUCAAGUCAUGAAAGUCGGUAACACCCGAAGCC
Molecule: ribosomal RNA, 1332 nt
Filed under: Curtobacterium oceanosedimentum
Lineage: Bacteria; Bacillati; Actinomycetota; Actinomycetes; Micrococcales; Microbacteriaceae
Description: bacterial SSU rRNA
Rfam family: Bacterial small subunit ribosomal RNA
Source: RNAcentral